GGGGGAUUCUCUUUCACGCUUAAGUGCUUAUUUUGGCUGAAAUUUUGCCUCUUUAGUAUUAGGGAAUAGAGGAAAGAUAUGCGGAUCUAUUUGGAUUUGAACAAUUUCAUGCAGACGCAUACAGAACGGACUGGAUACCACUGGUCGUUUAUUUGGAGAAAAUUGUUCUAUUUUUUUUCUUUUUCUCUCUAGGGCUGUUUGUAUAAAUAUAUGUAGUUCUAUUUGGAUUUGGACAAUUUCAUAUUCCUAUACAAAAUAGUGGCGGACGCAUACAGAACAGAUUGACUGGAUUGUAAAGAAUUCUAUACGGACAUGUUGGCAGAUUUACCAGAUAUUAGCAAUUGUAUAAAGAAUUCUAUACGGACUGCAGCAAUAUAUAGGUGGACGGAUAAAACCAUCGGCAAACUGAAAUUUUCAUCUUUAAAUAUUAGGAGGAAAAGAUAUUGGUAUAGAUGCAC
RNAcentral lists this long non-coding RNA (458 nucleotides) under Sorghum bicolor (sorghum). Its description in RNAcentral is "long non-coding RNA (SBIC_LNC016746)". The record is from RNAcentral. Lineage: Eukaryota; Viridiplantae; Streptophyta; Magnoliopsida; Poales; Poaceae.